AAGAUGGCCCACCGUGCUCAAUCAUCCCGUCAUCCGAAUCCUAGGAAUCCAGAGCCUCUCCGAGAAGGCUCCUCGCCUCGCCGACGUAUCUUCGUCGCCGUGCCUGAAACUGUGCGAGCCCCCGCGCCGCCUAUCCGGCCAAACUGCGCCGCACGUCGGCGCGUGCCCCGAGUUUUCGUCUCCUUCAAGCCAUCCCGCCGCCUCCCCUCUUUCCGCCCUCGCGGCAGCAUUUGGUCGAACAGUCUGUGAGCUCCCCUCCCUUCCCCUCCCCUCCUGACUGACACCCUCUCCGUAUUAAUUUAUUGAGUGUAAUCGCCGUAAUGGCCUGGCAUGGAUCAUCCCAGGUGUUUCCUCACAGUCAGGGGCUGCGGCGAUAUCGAUUGCUUAGACAAGAUAGAUAUGCAAGGCCACUUGCUAAAUUGGAGUACAAAACCUACAAAAUUAUUAUGCAGAGUAGAUUUGAAUUAUAGACAGCUAAUUCCUGCAUAGUCGACAAUUUUUCGUCAGUUUAACCAAUUUAGUCUUGCUACCCACUGACAGUGAGGCUUGUCAGCUAGAGCUAAGGUUACGUCUACAGCGUUAGGCCAUUUGGUUAAGAAAUAUUUGUGAGUUGCACAAUUAGUCCUUAAAUACAUGGGUACGUUCAGUUUAACCAAAUUUAUUCUUGGUACCCACUGAGGCUUGUUGCUAAAAUAAGGAAGUUUGUGUCCAUUUUGAGCGAGCUACAAUAGCAUUGCCAUCAAAGGUGUUGAACCCCAUCCUUUAUAUCUGCUGUGAAAAGCCUUAACUGAAGUUGUGACAACGGUUGCUCAAUGCCACCACAGAUUUCUUGAAGUACUUAUGUGGAAUAAUGACCUGAUGCAUACUUUACAAUCGAAACCCUUUGGGUGCUUGCGGACCAUGUCAGUUUUCUUCUAGGGUGCAUAGGGGGAAUUCCGUUUUGUGGAAUGUAUACUAUCAUUUUUUUAACUUCAUGGUUGCUUAUGCUAGGUGGUGUAUAUUUUUGUUGAUCCAUAUCCGUUUUAAGGAAAUUCUUGUUCUGAAUAGCAUGUAAGCACACCUCAUUUAUACUUUAGUGCCUUGAUCCAUUCUAAUAGUUGACGGCCUCUCAGGAAGAAAGUGAUUUGAUUUUAUUGCGCUUCAGUUUACUGUAAUUUCAUAGCAGGGGAAGUGCUGUCACAAUCACAUCCAUAUGUAAUACCAGAACUAGCUCACUUAUUGUUGUUCCAGCUCCUUAUAGCUUGAUGGCAUGGAGAAGCAGUUUUUGUUUGACGAACCAUGUACUGCAGUUUAUUACUUUACCAACAUGUGCAUACAGUUUGUCCGCACUACAGGUGCACGAGCUUACUUUACUACUCCCUCCGAUUCAUAUUAGUUGCCACUAAUAUAGAUGUAUCUAGACAUAUUUUAGUUCUAGGUACAUCCAUACAGGAGUAGUAUUAACUAUGAAGAUGGAGGGUGAGGUAAUUGGUAGCCUGCACAGUUUCUCUAUUUGGGUUCAUAAUUUUUUAAUGGUUACAAUGAUGUUCUAUUGUUUAACGGAUUGACAAGCUACAACUCAAACAAUUUUUUUUUGAAGCAUACUGCAUUUUUCUUCGUUUUUUUCGUUAUGAUUAGAGGUAUGCAGUUGGACAUUUCCAGUUUUAGGUGAGUACAUGUGUUUGUUUGUUCAGUCAUGCAAUGUUUCCUUUGUCUUAUUUGGUCCAAUUUGACUUUAGACUUAUAAGCUAGUUGCUUCUUGAUGCCCAUGGCAGCGUUUCUGUUUUUUGAUAUGGAGCUGUAUGGUACUUUUUCCUUUGCAAUCAAAGAGCAGGGGUAUUACUGACGACACUGAAUGUUAACAUUACAGUAUUCUUACUUACAAACCUAUACAACAACACUAAAAGAAGAAGAAAAGCAAACUGAAACUCAAAUUAUACAUCAAGAAAACUCAGAAGCACCCAUCAAGCACCUCUUCUUAAGGUGGCUAAAUUCUCCCACAAAAUCACAAGCAUCCAUCAAGCAUUGUCCUAACUACUUAGUGAUGAAUAAUCUACACCAAUGGAUUUCAUAUAUGUACGUAUCUACUUUUUUAUAUGAAAAGGUUCCAGUCUAAGCUAUAUUUGUAGUCAUCAACCAUUAUCUACUCAGAAUGUAGUACUAUCAAUGACUGGGAUUUCAUGCAGUUAUCAAUUAAUUAUUCAAAACACAUGUCAUUUUUACCUCAGGGUACUGUACUGCCUAUUUAUAGUCUGCCUUUGUUUUUAUUUCUGUGAGCAAGAGCUCAACAAUUAUUAUAUGCCACAGAUUUAGUGCAGUUAUGAGUUCAUCAUUCAGAACCCCUGUAUUUUACUUAAGAGCAAGAGACCUUCAGGAAAUAUUUCAAUUCUAAUUACAGUGAAUUCAGUCAGUUGGUCUUGUUUAGAAUAUAAGCACGAGCUCUCGUGUUGUUCCUUUACUUUGACAUGGUGCCUGCAUAUAUAGUGUGUAAUAUCUGGGUUAACAUUUCUUUUGAAACAACAAUAAUUAUUAAGCUAAUCAUUACUCGUACUAUUUUUGCAGUAAAAACUGUUAUCUUCAGUUGUUCACUCAUGCAGUGAGUGCAUAACCACACUGUAAAUAUUACAUUUCUUACCAUAAUUUAUACUUUUCAUCAGAGCAAAGUUUCUUGUAGCUUCAGUUAGUGUUCUUGUGAUUUCCAGGUCCUGACGCUUAUGUAACGGGAUCUUGCUUGACUAAUAACAUCGACACUCAGCAGGAAAUUCUGUAGUUUGCCAUGUUAUUCUUUAGAGAACUAUUACCAAAACUGGCACUCACAACCAUGGUACCACAAGGAUUGAGUAAUGCUGGUACAUGGGUUCGAGUUGAUUUUUCAACAUCCAAAGUGGAUACAAUUAUCAGUUGUCUGGUGUUUUGAGACCACAUAAUGCGAAGCACUGACAUGACAAACUACUUUUCGGUCACUGCAUCUGUAGGUAACCCAAAAUCAAGCACAUUUCAAAACUUUUCAUGGUGACAGUACUAAUUCUUAUGUCAGAUGUCAUCUCGUAGCUGCUGAUAGAAUGGACAUAAUGGAUUAGACAUUCCAUUGACUUUAAAAUGAGGUCAAUCAUCAAAUAGUAGUUCCGGCCCCGGGCCACUUUAUUUGGUAUCAAAACAACUUUUGGUUUCUUAUGUACAACAGUUUUUGCCCAACUGAUGUGAUGUUCUGGAAUUAUCCCGAUUUCCUUAAUGAUAUAUGUCGUGCAUAUAUGAAAUGAUGCUUCCUAGUUUUGUUUGCAAGGUGUUGAACCUUUCUGAAUUUAUCACUCAGUUAAUUAACACAGGUAAAAUUGCAUUAAUAUAUGUACUGUUCACUAUUAUAGACCCCACAUUGUUUUGCACGGCCCACAAAUGAAAACAUCUAUUAAUGCAAUUUUACAUGCAUGUAGAUCACACGUAUAUGUACAUGUUUUUUUUUUCAAAAAUGUCAUAAUAUUCGAAGUAUGAUCUUAAAUGUUUAAAAAUAAUGGACGCAAGGAGCCCAGGCUCAAAAGGAAAAAAAAACACACUAUACUUAUCCUUUUUUUCUGCUGUUGUGCAAUGUGUGUGCUUAUGUAAAUGCUUUACCUUUUACUUAAUUAGCCCAUCCCUUUUCCACUUGGAUGCUUACAAUUAUUAACUCCAGCCUUUGGUAAACGUGAACUUGAUGUUGUAUGACUUGACGCCAUUAUGUGGCGAAAAUAGGGGCGAUGGGCUUCCAGGUUGUUUAUCCCAGCGAUGCCUAGUACUUAGGGUGUAAACUGUAGAGUUAUACCCUUCCUUCGGCUUGUACAUAACUUAUCUCUACCGAUGCAUCAAGACACAAAGCUUUUUGCAUUUCCAAAAAAAAAAAUUUGGCGCCAAAUGAACUCUUACACUGGUUGAUCGUGAAUGGACUGCCUAGCUGACCGACAAGAAAAUAGUAGCAUCAUAUUCAUGAUGUAAACCAAUUUUCAGUUAAAGUGAUAUAUUAAUUCCUCAAGCCAUUAGUUAGAGGUAACAUGUAAGUCAUACCUCAACCAGAAAAGUAUCAACUUUUGGGGCUUUGCAUUAGUUCCUUUCCUCUGCUGUUCACAUGUGCCAUUUCACCGUGCUUUUCGUUUCAUAUGAGUCUUACAAGUUUGGUAUUAGUUUGCUCAAGUAAGUAUAGAUAUGCCUACAAUUCCCCUUCUGAACCCGAUUCCUUAAUUUGUGGCUGCGAGGAAAUUUUGGUAAGAUUCAGAUUAUAUGAGCAUAUUCUUUUUAAAAGAAAUUUGUGGCUUCUUGCACGGAUAUAUAUCAUAUUUUUACCUUCACAAAACUUGAUUCAUUUGUUGCAUGUAUACAGGUUUCUUCGUAUGCCAGACACCAUUUUUGUUAAUGAUCAGUCUACCUGGGAGCCUCUUUUUUAUACUGUCAUCAGUUGACACAGUACUCGGCACUCAGCAGCAUGAGUUCCACUAGUUAGUGGUUCAAUUCAUCAUUGCAGUAAUAAUAACUGGAGCUCGCAUGCUUCAUGGGCGGAUAUAAUCCUCAAAUGAUUGCUUCAAAAGCGCAUCAGGCGCAACUCAAAGCGAAUCUUCUUCAGGGUUGAAGUUCUUUGUCAUCUCGAGGCAGAAGAGCACCUUUUUAUCUGUUUUGAACUGGUUAGCUUGCACUGGAUCCUGUGGAUUGAAUGAUGACCUCCAGUUGUUAAGGAUGCCUGUUUUGUUUAUGAUAACAAAACCCUCAAUGUAGUCGAAGGUCUUUUGUGCAGAAAUAAGCAUCUCCUGGUCCUCGGUGAAGCUCGCGAAAUCUAAGUAGAGAACUCUUAUCCACCUUACCUGUUGUACAUCCGAUCAACCCAUGAGCAUGCGCUUAGUAAAAUGUCACUAGCAUGGACUUUCCAAAAAUGAGUUGUUUGAACUUACCAUCCGUGGAGCAGGCUCAAGAGCAAUCCUGGCCCGAAUGAUGAUGCCAAAUUGACCUAGACCACCAAGGGCAGCAUGGAAGAGAUUAGAGUUCUGUUGAGGUCUGCCAUUACCAGUCACAAUCUCCAGUUCUUUCACAUUACUGAUCUGUGGGCCAUGCCGGAAUGUCUGCCCGCUGACGCCCGCAUUUGAUAGCGUGCCCCCAAUUGUAAGAUGGAGGUAGUCUGUCCAUGACUUCGGUGCCAAACCAUACUUCAAUGUCUCGUUCAAGACAUUUAUCCAGAGUUCUCCUCCUGAGGCAUCCACAUAGGGUGACACACCAGGGUGUACCUUCAUGCUAUCACUCUGGAGGGAUUCCAUUCUGAUGACAAUCCCUCCAGCAGCCUGGGACUGUCCAUAUAGAGAGUGCCCAUGCCCACGAGCUGCUAUUGUGAGUGUGGAGUGCUCACCCAUCAAGAACACAUGCCUCACAGUUGUGGCGAUGUCAGCCACUGAGCCUGGGUGGAGCACAGCGACUGGCGGGAAGCAAGA
Lolium perenne is the source of this 5420-nucleotide long non-coding RNA. RefSeq lists it as uncharacterized. The record is from RefSeq and is a predicted model, not a curated record. Lineage: Eukaryota; Viridiplantae; Streptophyta; Magnoliopsida; Poales; Poaceae.